RNAcentral lists this ribosomal RNA (534 nucleotides) under uncultured bacterium. RNAcentral describes it as "bacterial SSU rRNA". It matches the Rfam family "Bacterial small subunit ribosomal RNA", at positions 777 to 1308 of the family's 1533-position model. The record is from RNAcentral.
AAUAGAUACCCCGGUAGUCCACGCCGUAAACGAUGAGUGCUAAGUGUUAGAGGGUUUCCGCCCUUUAGUGCUGCAGCAAACGCAUUAAGCACUCCGCCUGGGGAGUACGGUCGCAAGACUGAAACUCAAAAGAAUUGACGGGGGCCCGCACAAGCGGUGGAGCAUGUGGUUUAAUUCGAAGCAACGCGAAGAACCUUACCAGGUCUUGACAUCCUUAUGCCAUCCCUAGAGAUAGGGCUUUCCCUUCGGGGACAUAAGUGACAGGUGGUGCAUGGUUGUCGUCAGCUCGUGUCGUGAGAUGUUGGGUUAAGUCCCGCAACGAGCGCAACCCUUGAUCUUAGUUGCCAGCAUUCAGUUGGGCACGUCUAAGGCGACUGCCGGUGACAAACCGGAGGAAGGUGGGGAUGACGUCAAAUCAUCAUGCCCCUUAUGACCUGGGCUACACACGUGCUACAAUGGAUGGUACAAAGGGCUGCAAAACCGCGAGGUUAAGCGAAUCCCAUAAAACCAUUCUCAGUUCGGAUUGCAGGCUGA